Molecule: long non-coding RNA, 1074 nt
Filed under: Olea europaea subsp. europaea
Lineage: Eukaryota; Viridiplantae; Streptophyta; Magnoliopsida; Lamiales; Oleaceae
Source: RNAcentral
GUCUGAUUCCUUACGCGUGGUUAGCUUGCUUGGUUUGUGGAGUAACUUAUGCUUGAGCAGAUAAAAAUAUUUAGUUUAGUCCAAAUUGAAAAUGAUUGGAGUCUCUGCGAGGUUUGGCCUAAGCUAUUUGCAAAUGUGCUUAAGUGAAAAUAGUGGCUAUUUUUAAAAUAAAGAGCAUUGGUUUACUUUCACUAGUUGGAGGUCUUGAUGAUUUUGCAGUUACGGAUUAGUUGAGUUAGAACUCGUGGUCAAUAAUAUUUCCAUAGUGUCUUUUUACGCUUGAUUAUAUUAUUGCUUGAAUUAUAUACCCUUUUAGUACUUACACAACCAGUAUUAAGUAUUGAUGCAACAAGAUACUAUAUACUUGGUUGCAUUCUCAAAAAGUGGGGAUUAUCGUCUUCAUAAAAGAAUUAUAUGCUUGCAUGAUUUUACCCUAUGACAAGUGUAAGCUUGAUUUGUGUAAUAGCUGAAAUUCUUUGCGUGGACACAAUCGAAUUGCAACAAUUGACUUUAUUUUUGUUUAUUUAGCUAACAUUCCCUAUGGGGCUCAGAUGAUAUGAAAUGUUUGAAGUUAGCUUAGCCUUGUGGGCUAUUGUCUUUGUGCAUUUUGUUAGUGUUAUUUUUACUAGUCCAUUAUGUAUCAGCCCUUGAGUAUAAUAAACAUGAAUUUCCUGCUUUCCCUUAUGUGUUUUACUUUAUGGUGCAGAUGGUUGCUUUUGUACGUGGAAUAAAUCAUUUCGAGACUCAAUCCUCAUCAAACAAAAAAACUUGGUGAAAGUCCUGGAAUUUUUGCCUGUAAUUGUUGGAGAAUUGUUUCAGGGAUGAAAGUGGUCGGUGAAUACUAGCUUUCAAGCUUCUUCUUCUUCCUUUUUUUUUUUUCGAGGGGUAAAACCUGGUAAAAGCCCUUUGUAAAAGUUCCAAUCUCGAUUAAUCAAUUGUCACAUGGCUAACCUAGAGAUUCAUGACCAUAUUUUGUAACCAAUUCAAGUUUUUUGUGUCUCAUAUCAAACCCAUUUAUAUUGUAAUUGUGAGAUGAAUUACACUAGUUGAAGAAUUUAGAGAAGAAGAACAAAG